Molecule: long non-coding RNA, 355 nt
Organism: Branchiostoma floridae (Florida lancelet)
Lineage: Eukaryota; Metazoa; Chordata; Leptocardii; Amphioxiformes; Branchiostomatidae
Exons: 3
Source: RefSeq, a predicted model, not a curated record
UGGCUAUUUUUAUUCACAGCUCCAGAGGGGGUACCUACAGAGGUAGAGGCCAAGACAGCACCGGUUAAUGGCACGGACGGUCUCAAGGAUGUCACUUUUUCUUGGGCGGAAGUCCCUCUGGAACAUCAGAAUGGCCCUAUCAUUCGCUACCAUCUGAACCUGACCACAGGAGGCAAAGCCAUUAGCAGUGCCUCUGUAGAUGGGAACACAACAGGCUACACGUUCAGAAACCUCGCCGUGAAUCAGGCGUACCAGGUCGUGCUUUGGGCAGUCAACGCCGCUGGCGCGUCACCAACGGUCACAUACGACAUUCCAGAAGAUAAAGAAGUGCAUCCAGCAACUCCCCGUGGUAGGC